AUGGCUGAAGGGCCGUUGGACUUCUGGAUUAACUGGGGGAGCCAGAUCGGGGUUCUCUUGAGCCUCGCCUUCCAGGUCAUCCUCCAUCUCUUCGCCAAUGUACGUCGGCGUAGUAGCUCAGCUAUGCUGAGGGUUCCCCUCUGGCUGGCAUACCAGCUGUCGGACAUGACCGCGAUAUAUGCUGCCGGCCAGCUCCUAUACAGCAGCAACACACCGCAAGACCACCAGCUCAUUGCCUUGUGGGCGCCAUUCCUCCUGCUGCACCUUGGUGGCCCGGACAACAUCACCGCCUAUGCCCUCGAGGAUAGCAAGCUUUGGAAGCGUCACUUGCUGAUCCUUGCGGUGCAGGUUGCGGGAGCCGGAUAUGUCCUCUAUAAGUACAUCGCCGGCAGCGGGAUCUUGCUCACACUGGCUGCCAUCUUGAUACUCGUUAUUGGUGUUGCAAAGUAUGGGGAGAGGACAUGGGCACUCCGGGCGGCCAACUUCAGCAUUCUUCAGAGCUCAAUCAAGGCAACAAAAGAAAAAAGCAAAACAAAGAGCUCUCUGAUGACAAGCAAAGAAGAAACCAAAUCAAAGAGCUCUCUCAAGGUACCAAGACGUGACCAAUAUUUUUAUCAAGAAUGGUACAACGACUUGCCAGACGAGCUCAUCCUACAGCGUGCUCAUUCUCUUUUUCAUAUUUGCAAGCGUGGGAUAGUUGAUUCAGUGGUCGAGAUAGAUGUCGCAGGUACCCCGAGUAAGGUAACAAUCCAGGAACUUAAGAAUGACCAUGAGAAAAUGUGGAGGGUGAUGGAGAUGGAACUCUCCCUCAUGUAUGAUAUUCUGUACACCAAGGCAAACGUGAUCCACUCUUGGUUUGGCUACUGCAUCCGUACCAUCUCGCCGCUCACUGUCAUUGCCUCACUCAUGUUGUUCAGGUUGAGCAACAAAGAUGGUUACAGCCGAGUUGACAUUGCCAUCACGUACACCUUGUUGGGUGGUGCCUUGGUCCUAGAGACGAAAUCGCUCCUCGGUGCACUAGGGUCGAGCUGGGCGCUUGGCUUCUUGUGCGCCACACGAUUGGAUUGGCUCCGGCAUUCAUCUCUGUGCACCGGAAGAUGGUAUCGGUUACGGCGCACACUUCUUUCUCUUCGCAGGUCCUGGCCUGGCAAGAUGAUUAUGACAGGAGGCUCAAGGAGGUGGUCAGGCAUCAUAGGUCAGCAUAACAUGUUGCGGUUUCGUGCUGGACAGGUGGAUCCUAUGAGUCGCCGACUCGAAAAUCUGUUCAUGGUGCUUGGACUCGGUGAGUGGUGGGAUAGGAGGUACUACUCGUGCACUGUCGUUGUCCCGAAGAAUGUCAUGAAGUGUGCACAGAAGGUGGGCAGGUGGUCACAAGAUGAUAUAAACACAAUGGGCGUGCUCAGGCAUAAAUGGGGUGAAGCAGCACUGGAUAACAGAGUGUACCAUGAGCUGUACAAGGAAUUGGAAAAGUAUCACGGAGUUGAAUUCCAUGAGAGCAUCAUCUGCUGGCACAUUGCCACCGAUUUGAUCCUCGCAAGGGUGGAAAAGGAAAAGGGACAUUUUGCAGCUGAUAGCAGUGCGCAGAUAGUCAGGGCACUGUCCAACUACAUGAUGUUCCUCCUCGUGAACAGCCCCUACAUGCUACCAGGCCUUCCUCAAAAUUGGCUGUACAAGCAAACCUGCAACAAUCUGGACAAGAUAUGCGAUGACUAUAAUCUUGUCGGCUCUCUGGGCGACAACUUGUGGACUGUGCUCAAGAAAUUGCUCGGAUUGCAUCAUCACAGGGUAUUGGAAUCUUCUGGGCUUGAGAAGAAGCUCGCUGACGUCAUACUGGAGUUACCGAAGGGACAUGCAGGCUCUGGCUCUGAAACUCCUCGACUCUUGUAUGCACGCCGUAUUGCUGUUCUAAUACUUGAGAGUGAGGUAGUAGAUGAUAAGGUGCGUCUGCUGCUAGAUCUGUGGAUCGACUUCCUAGCCUACGCAGCCAACCGGUGCAUUAGGGAGUCACAUGCCAAGAAGCUUAGCACCGGUGGUGAGCUCAUGACCAUCGUGUGGCUUAUUUUGGAACACCUCCGCUAUUUAAAAGAAGACCCAAACAAGGAGGGAAGCCAUGUAUAA
Molecule: ribosomal RNA, 2118 nt
Filed under: Triticum aestivum (bread wheat)
Lineage: Eukaryota; Viridiplantae; Streptophyta; Magnoliopsida; Poales; Poaceae
Description: partial small subunit ribosomal RNA
Source: RNAcentral